This is a long non-coding RNA of Mercenaria mercenaria, 570 nucleotides long. RefSeq lists it as uncharacterized. The record is from RefSeq and is a predicted model, not a curated record. The transcript has 3 exons. NCBI's taxonomy places the organism in Eukaryota, Metazoa, Mollusca, Bivalvia, Venerida, Veneridae.
AAUGUACGGCUUCAAUAAAACAAGCAAAUACAUCACCUGAAGAGAUUGAGGUAAAAUUUGCAAGUACAUGCUUGAGGCGCAUAAAUGAAACAUGCGAAUACGUAUGCCAAAGGAAUUAUGUACCCACUAAUGAAAGUAACCUAACAUUGACUUGUACAGAAAAUGGUUGGGAUAGAGAGAAAGACCAACUGUGCGAAGAACUUCGCUGUCCAAAUUCAAUAGCGAACGGCGCACUUGAUGCCUCUUGCGAACGUAAAGUUGGAGGGAUUUGCAAUUUUACGUGCAAUAGCGGGUUUACAAAGACAGAAGAAAAUACGUUUUGCACAACAAAUGGACAAUGGCAUAAAGAUGCUAACGCAUACUGUACACCGUUCCUAUGUACUGAUAAAUUUCCUCAAGCUACAACAACAUCUGUAAACGAGAAGAUUGAAAUCUCCAUUGCUAGCACCUGUACGCGUCAGGUAAAUGAGAGAUGCGAAUAUGUAUGUCCAACAAAUUAUCGUCCAACUGAAAAAGAUAGAACUGAAUUGAAAUGUACUGCUAGUGGAUGGGAAAGAGCAUCAGCCCAAC